Molecule: ribosomal RNA, 367 nt
Filed under: uncultured organism
Description: bacterial LSU rRNA
Rfam family: Bacterial large subunit ribosomal RNA
Source: RNAcentral
CUUUACUAUAGCGUGUCAUUGCAAUUUUAUUUUUAUUGUUUAGCCUAGGUGGGAGCCUUUGAAGUACCGGCGCCAGCUGGUAUGGAGGCGACAGGUGAAAUACCACCCUGUAAAGAUGAAAUUGCUAUCCAAAGUUUAACCUGCUUUGGGACAGUGGCUCGUGGGUAGUUUAACUGGGGCGGUUGCCUCCUAAAUGGUAACGGAGGCGUUUAUUAAGGUAUGCUAGUCGCGGAUGGAAAUCGCGAUGAUAGUGCAAACGCAUAAGCAUGCUUGACUGCAAGGGCGGCGACCCGCGCAGGUACGAAAGUAGAAGUUAGUGAUCCGAUGCGUUCGAGUGGAAGACGCAAAGCCCAACGGAUAAAAGUUA